RNAcentral lists this ribosomal RNA (393 nucleotides) under Triticum aestivum (bread wheat). RNAcentral describes it as "partial small subunit ribosomal RNA". Lineage: Eukaryota; Viridiplantae; Streptophyta; Magnoliopsida; Poales; Poaceae. The record is from RNAcentral.
AUGAGUCCAAAUAAACAGGGGCUGGGUUUGAACAUGCACAGUUUUGAAAUUUUCCAUCCUCAUGUCAUGUUGACACCACAUGUUGGAAUAGAGAUAUUACGAGAUCAGAAAUCUCUUCCUAGUUGGGAAAGGAAGAUGGCGACUGUUGGAGUUGCUGGGACACUUUGGGGGAUCCAGAAGGCCAAAAAAUAUGGCAUGUUUCGAGCUGCGAUCCCAGCUCACUUGCCUCUCAUGUUUGCUACGUGCUGGAUUGGCAACCGCUGGAGCUUGGUACAAGCGAGGCGACGGAGGGAAAAAGGGAGGCACCGCAACAGGGCUGUAUCUCUUGCGCGCCGUGUCUCUACUACGUCUACGUACCGGGUGGUUCAUCUCGGGUUAAUUUUCUGUUACUGA